GUGCCAGCAGCCGCGGUAAUACCGGCAGCCCGAGUGAUGGCCGAUCUUAUUGGGCCUAAAGCGUCCGUAGCUGGCUGCGCAAGUCCGUCGGGAAAUCCACCUGCCCAACAGGUGGGCGUCCGGCGGAAACUGUGUGGCUUGGAACCGGAAGGCUCGAGGGGUACGUCCGGGGUAGGAGUGAAAUCCCAUAAUCCCGCACGGAUCACCGAUGGCGAAAGCACUUCGAGAAGACGGAUCCGACAGUGAGGGACGAAAGCCAGGGUCUCCAACCGGAUUAGAAACCCCAGUAGUCC
Molecule: ribosomal RNA, 293 nt
Filed under: uncultured bacterium
Lineage: Bacteria
Description: partial 16S ribosomal RNA
Rfam family: Archaeal small subunit ribosomal RNA
Source: RNAcentral